Molecule: long non-coding RNA, 907 nt
Organism: Hylaeus volcanicus
Lineage: Eukaryota; Metazoa; Arthropoda; Insecta; Hymenoptera; Colletidae
Exons: 6
Source: RefSeq, a predicted model, not a curated record
CACACGAAAACAAAGGUAUUGUUUGCGUCACAAAGCAUGGUAUGCUUCUGAAGAGUAUCUGUGAUUGUUGCAAAAGUGAGUUUUGUACCACGAGGAUACAAGGCUAAACACGAAGAUCCAUCCACAACAAGGUAGCGGUUUUUUAAGAGUUCCUCUACAGAACAUGCUUGUUGAAGUGUUUCAAGAAUUAAUGAUUUCAUCGCGGUACCAUCGACUAAGAAAAGCAUACAAAAUAAAAAUUCAACAUUACGCGAUAUACGUUCGAAAAGCCGAAUCUAAAGGACUUGACCGUAUAAUGCCGACCCGGCUCCAACGUGUCACCAGAGAAUAUGGUUUGACGGUUUACGAAGAAGCUUGGCUAAACUCUAAGUAAAAUGUUCACUUUACAAAAUAAAAUAUUGCUUAAAGAAAAUCACGAAGGAAGCAAAGUAGCAAUGUACAUUCAUUGUCACGAAGAAAUGUCGUUUAAAGGAAAUGCUCUAAGUAUAUGCAAGAGUAGCUACAUUGUAUACAGUCAAGGAAAAAAAAAUAUUGAAAACUUAAUCUAGGGUUCUAAGUCAAGGCGUGAAAAAUAAGCCAUUCUACAGAUAAACAAGUUAACGAGAACUUACACUAUGACCGACUUAAUGCCGCGUCAUGGCGAAACAAUUACAUCAUUUUGCUAGGAUUGUCCUCGAGAGUAAGGGAGUAACAAUGCAAUUCAGUCGUUAAAUAGAGAUUAACAGUAGCCUUUGUGUCUUUGUUGAAAAGUUUUGGAUAAGAGUGAAGAAUUAAUCGAAAAAGAAAAUGUUAUGGUUGCUUUAGUCUACAAACAUGAAAAGAAGUAUUAGAAGGACUCAUUAGAGUUCAAUAUGAAAUAUUGUUUGAUGCGCAAAUUGAACUUGAUUGAUACCACAGUUGCAAGACG